RNAcentral lists this ribosomal RNA (403 nucleotides) under Verrucomicrobiota bacterium. Its description in RNAcentral is "Verrucomicrobia bacterium partial 16S ribosomal RNA". It matches the Rfam family "Bacterial small subunit ribosomal RNA", at positions 355 to 776 of the family's 1533-position model. The record is from RNAcentral. Lineage: Bacteria; Pseudomonadati; Verrucomicrobiota.
UGGGGAAUAUUGCACAAUGGGGGAAACCCUGAUGCAGCGACGCCGCGUGAGCGAAGAAGGCUUUCGAGUCGUAAAGCUCUGUCCUAUGAGAAGAUAAUGACGGUAUCAUAGGAGGAAGCCCUGGCUAAAUACGUGCCAGCAGCCGCGGUAAUACAUAUGGGGCGAGCGUUGUCCGGAAUUAUUGGGCGUAAAGGGUACGUAGGCGGUUUUUUAAGUCAGGUGUCAAAGCGUGGAGCUUAACUCCAUUAAGCACUUGAAACUGAAAGACUUGAGUGAAGGAGAGGAAAGUGGAAUUCCUAGUGUAGCGGUGAAAUGCGUAGAUAUUAGGAGGAAUACCGGUGGCGAAGGCGACUUUCUGGACUUUUACUGACGCUCAGGUACGAAAGCGUGGGGAGCAAACAGG